Meriones unguiculatus (Mongolian gerbil) is the source of this 994-nucleotide long non-coding RNA. RefSeq lists it as uncharacterized. The record is from RefSeq and is a predicted model, not a curated record. Lineage: Eukaryota; Metazoa; Chordata; Mammalia; Rodentia; Muridae. The transcript has 3 exons.
UUUGGUAGGACCCAAGCAUUGUUUUAGAGGCAAUUUGAUGAGAAAUCGAGUGGGUAAUGUCCUUGACCUUUCCAGAAGAGCUUCCUAAGUCUCACCUGAACACAUGGGAUAUGAAGGUAUAAGAGGUGUGUGAAAGACACGGAGAAGGUGGAACAACGGGAGUACAUGGGAAUUCCAUGGUAGCAUGCCAGCUGUUCCCAUAGUGGAUUGACGGUCAUGUAUAGAGUCAGAAAGAAGCCACAACAGACUGUUUCAGCUGGAGAAGGUCCCACAGAAGAGAAGAUUGGAACUGUAAGAGUGAAGACGGUGACUAGAAGAUGGAGAGCCUUGAACAUCAGAAUCAAGAUUUGCAUCUUGUCUUCUACUCUCUGGAAAGUCUUCCAAAACAGGAGGAUUUCUGAAUACUGAUAGCUUGACUGAUGAGUCCUUUCCACAACGAGACAGUUGGGCUGGACAAGCAGCCUUAUAUUAUAUCUUUUAAACUCAUUUUGAUUCAGAGCUGAGUGUGAGCUGAGGUAGAGCAGUUGCUCUAUAUAAAAUCAGAUAUAUUAAAGAUGAGGAAUAAAGCUAAGAUAGAGAGAAGGGAUCAACCUCAAAUGUUAAGACAAGCUGCAGUUCUUGGAGCAUUCAGAGGUAGAAGUCCAGAGAUGUAGUAGACAAUCUAUCACACAUUUAUUUGCAUUUUAUUUAUUUAUGUUAAAGGUAUUUGGGGAGGGAGGGAGGCUGGAGAGAUGGCUCAGCAGUUAAGAGCACUGGCUGCUCUUUCAGAGGACCCAGGUUCAAUUCCCAGCACCCACAUGGCAGCUUACAACUGUUUGUUAACUCCAGUUCCAAGGGAUCUAACACCCUCACACAAGCAGAACAAUAAUGCACAGAAAAAAAAACCCAAAUCAUUUGAAAAGAAAAUAUUUCGGGGGAGGAGGAUGUUACAACUAUAUUUUAUUUUAACCCUAACCCAUAGCGCAUGUUAAUAGGCUAUUGUAUGACGUUUCAG